GGCAGCGUGGCCUAAUGGAAAGAGCACAGGUCUGGGAGUCAGAGGACCUGGGUUCUAAUCUCUGCUCUGCCA
Molecule: non-coding RNA, 72 nt
Organism: Ornithorhynchus anatinus (platypus)
Lineage: Eukaryota; Metazoa; Chordata; Mammalia; Monotremata; Ornithorhynchidae
Source: Rfam